GACGAACGCUGGCGGCGUGCUUAACACAUGCAAGUCGAACGGAAAGGCCCUGCUUUUGUGGGGUGCUCGAGUGGCGAACGGGUGAGUAACACGUGAGUAACCUGCCCUUGACUUUGGGAUAACUUCAGGAAACUGGGGCUAAUACCGGAUAGGAGCUCCUGCUGCAUGGUGGGGGUUGGAAAGUUUCGGCGGUUGGGGAUGGACUCGCGGCUUAUCAGCUUGUUGGUGGGGUAGUGGCUUACCAAGGCUUUGACGGGUAGCCGGCCUGAGAGGGUGACCGGCCACAUUGGACUUGGGAUCGGGCCCGAACUCUGACGGGGGGCAGAAGGGGGGAAAUUGGCACACAGGGCGGCGGCCGGAUGGAGCAACGCCGGGGGGGGGAGAACGGCUUUCGGGUGUUAACCCGCUUUCCCUUGUGUGGAGGGGGGGGGACGGGAAAUGGGGAAAAAGCCCCCGCCUAAUACGGG
This 467-nucleotide ribosomal RNA is filed under the name uncultured bacterium. RNAcentral's name for it is "partial 16S ribosomal RNA". It matches the Rfam family "Bacterial small subunit ribosomal RNA", at positions 28 to 507 of the family's 1533-position model. The record is from RNAcentral.